This 407-nucleotide ribosomal RNA is filed under the name uncultured bacterium. Its description in RNAcentral is "partial 16S ribosomal RNA". It matches the Rfam family "Bacterial small subunit ribosomal RNA", at positions 30 to 526 of the family's 1533-position model. The record is from RNAcentral.
AUUGAACGCUGGCGGCAGGCCUAACACAUGCAAGUAGAGCGGAGCGGCGGAAGGGCGAGUAAUACCUAGGAAUCUGCCUGGUAGUGGGGGAUAAAGUGCGGAAACGGGCGCUAAUACCGCAUACUAUCAGAUGAGACUAGGUCGGAUUAGCUAGUUGGUGGGUUAAAGGCCUACCAAGUCGACGCACCGUAACUGGUCUGAGAGGAUGAUCAGUCACACUGGAACUUAGACACGGUCCAGACUCCGACGUGAGGCAGCAGUGGGGAAUAGUGGACAAUGGGCGAAAGCCUGAUCCAGCCAUGCCGCGUGUGUGAAGAAGGUCUUCGGAUUGUAAAGCACUUUAAGUUGGGAGGCGUUACCAACAGAAUAAGCACCGGCUAACUUCGUGCCAGCAGCCGCGGUAAUAC